CCUACGGGGGGCAGCAGUGGGGAAUAUUGCACAAUGGGGGAAACCCUGAUGCAGCGACGCCGCGUGAGUGAAGAAGUAUUUCGGUACGUAAAGCUCUAUCAGCAGGGAAGAAAAUGACGGUACCUGACUAAGAAGCCCCGGCGAACUACGUGCCAGCAGCCGCGGUAAUACGUAGGGGGCAAGCGUUAUCCGGAUUUACUGGGUGUAAAGGGAGCGUAGACGGCAGCGCAAGACUGUUGUGAAAUCCAAUGGCUUACCCAUGGAACUGCGUUGGAAACUGGGCAGCUAGAGUGCAGGAUAGGUAAGCGGAAUUCCUAGUGUAGCGGUGAAAUGCGUAGAUAUUAGGAGGAACACCAGUGGCGCCGGCGGCUUACUGGACUGUAACUGACGUUGAUGCUCGAACGCGUGGGGAGCAAACAGGAUUAGAUACCCGAGUAGUC
This 440-nucleotide ribosomal RNA is filed under the name uncultured bacterium. Its description in RNAcentral is "partial 16S ribosomal RNA". It matches the Rfam family "Bacterial small subunit ribosomal RNA", at positions 338 to 795 of the family's 1533-position model. The record is from RNAcentral.